ACCAGGAUGGCUAGGUGGUUAUGGUGUUGGACUUAAGAUCCAAAGGACAUGUGUCCACCUGGGUUUGAACCCCACUUCUGGUA
This 83-nucleotide transfer RNA is filed under the name Cervus elaphus hippelaphus. It matches the Rfam family "tRNA". From Rfam's summary of the family: Transfer RNA (tRNA) molecules are approximately 80 nucleotides in length. Their secondary structure includes four short double-helical elements and three loops (D, anti-codon, and T loops). Further hydrogen bonds mediate the characteristic L-shaped molecular structure. tRNAs have two regions of fundamental functional importance: the anti-codon, which is responsible for specific mRNA codon recognition, and the 3' end, to which the tRNAs corresponding amino acid is attached (by aminoacyl-tRNA synthetases). tRNAs cope with the degeneracy of the genetic code in two manners: having more than one tRNA (with a specific anti-codon) for a particular amino acid; and 'wobble' base-pairing, i.e. permitting non-standard base-pairing at the 3rd anti-codon position. RNAcentral also lists the same sequence under 1 other name. The record is from Rfam by way of RNAcentral. Lineage: Eukaryota; Metazoa; Chordata; Mammalia; Artiodactyla; Cervidae.